UCGAGCGGACAGAUGGGAGCUUGCUCCCUGAUGUUAGCGGCGGACGGGUGAGUAACACGUGGGUAACCUGCCUGUAAGACUGGGAUAACUCCGGGAAACCGGGGCUAAUACCGGAUGCUUGUUUGAACCGCAUGGUUCAAACAUAAAAGGUGGCUUCGGCUACCACUUACAGAUGGACCCGCGGCGCAUUAGCUAGUUGGUGAGGUAACGGCUCACCAAGGCAACGAUGCGUAGCCGACCUGAGAGGGUGAUCGGCCACACUGGGACUGAGACACGGCCCAGACUCCUACGGGAGGCAGCAGUAGGGAAUCUUCCGCAAUGGACGAAAGUCUGACGGAGCAACGCCGCGUGAGUGAUGAAGGUUUUCGGAUCGUAAAGCUCUGUUGUUAGGGAAGAACAAGUACCGUUCGAAUAGGGCGGUACCUUGACGGUACCUAACCAGAAAGCCACGGCUAACUACGUGCCAGCAGCCGCGGUAAUACGUAGGUGGCAAGCGUUGUCCGGAAUUAUUGGGCGUAAAGGGCUCGCAGGCGGUUUCUUAAGUCUGAUGUGAAAGCCCCCGGCUCAACCGGGGAGGGUCAUUGGAAACUGGGGAACUUGAGUGCAGAAGAGGAGAGUGGAAUUCCACGUGUAGCGGUGAAAUGC
Molecule: ribosomal RNA, 645 nt
Filed under: Bacillus sp. SCULCB PT-9
Lineage: Bacteria; Bacillati; Bacillota; Bacilli; Caryophanales; Bacillaceae
Description: bacterial SSU rRNA
Rfam family: Bacterial small subunit ribosomal RNA
Source: RNAcentral